GACGAACGCUGACAGAAUGCCUAACACAUGCACGUCACUGUGUGGCGGACGGGUGAGUAAAGCGUAAAGAAAUUGCCUCCCAGCUAGGGACAACAUCUGGAAAAGAACGCUAAUACCUAAUACUGUGAGAGAGCUGUGCGUCCCUUGAGCUAGUUGGAGAGGUAACGGCUCACCAAGGCGAUGAUGGGUUGCCGGCCUGGGAGGGUGAUCGGCCUCCAGGGGCCUGGGAGGCGGCCCUUAGGCCUACGUGGGGCAGCAGUGGAGAAUAUUGGACAAUGGACCAAGGUCUGAUUCAGCUAUUCGGUGUGCACGAGGAAGUUUUCGGAAUGUAAAGUGCUUUCAGUUAGGAAGCGGUACCAACAGAGGAAGUGACGGCUAAAUACGUGCCAGCAGCCGCGGUAAUAC
RNAcentral lists this ribosomal RNA (405 nucleotides) under uncultured bacterium. Its description in RNAcentral is "partial 16S ribosomal RNA". It matches the Rfam family "Bacterial small subunit ribosomal RNA", at positions 28 to 526 of the family's 1533-position model. The record is from RNAcentral.